This 228-nucleotide ribosomal RNA is filed under the name uncultured bacterium. RNAcentral describes it as "partial 16S ribosomal RNA". It matches the Rfam family "Bacterial small subunit ribosomal RNA", at positions 262 to 504 of the family's 1533-position model. The record is from RNAcentral.
GGCCCACCAAGGCGACGAUCAGUAGCCGGACUGAGAGGUUGGCCGGCCACAUUGGGACUGAGACACGGCCCAGACUCCUACGGGAGGCAGCAGUAGGGAAUCUUCCGCAAUGGACGAAAGUCUGACGGAGCAACGCCGCGUGAAGGAAGAAGGCUUUCGGGUUGUAAACUUCUUUUGUCGGGGACGAAACAAAUGACGGUACCCGACGAAUAAGCCACGGCUAACUAC